GAUGGCUACUUCUCUCGACGUCAAUAUCGAGAAACUUUCUCACCACUGGAAAUACUCCACUUGGUUAAGGCGAGGGCAGGAUACACCAUGUCAAGUCGCUUACUGUGAAUUCACCAAACCAUUUCCUGCACUGGGGAGCUAGCAGGUUAAAGGAUUUGUUGGAAAUGUUUAUCGGUUUCAAAGCUGCAGCUCAUGUGUGAAAAGGCUUUGAUGAAGAUUAGAAUCUGCUAAGUCACAGUGAGUGAUGCCCACAGUGAGUAUUUAAAUUUUUCACACACUAAAGAGCGAACACAAACUACAGAUUUUUAACGAAGGAACGAAGGUUUGGUGGGAGGAUGUAUUUUGAUUCAUAUGGCAUGUUGCUUGCCGUGCAGUGGCCUCUCCCCACCUACACAGCUAAAUGCAUUCUGUGGUUUCUCAGGACUAAAAGCUCACUGGCAAAAUGAGAAAUAGUUGUUUUUGCAUUAUAUUAUAAUUCACUUUUCCUUCCAGUAAGCAGGGCAGUUUCUUGUAAAUCAAGACACACUGUUAGCUCUGCACAGGGAUCUCAAAGCAAAAUCUAACUGAAUAUUUGCUCCUCAUUCAAAGGAACCCACGUGGAUUCCUUGUUUUUGUGCCGCGCAAACCAGAUGCAACAAGACUGUUCACGCUUCACCUUGUUUGUCUUGAUGCGUCCUUGGGUUGAACAAAAGUUCAGCAGCAGCAGCAGAGGAGACGCAUUAAGCUAAGGGGCAAACUGAGGCGGAAACACUGUGUCAUUAUUAGGCCUUUCAUCACAGCCGGCAUUAGUGGGAAGAGCGCAGGUGUUAUAAAAACCCCUCAGGAUGUCGUGACAGCGAGCUGGACCUCAAAUCAGUCAGCAAACAUAAAUGUUAUUAUUUACACCAGCUGUGACGUGUGAAAGCCUCACCUUAUAAGGUGUUAAUGUUUGCUUGUGUUUAACAUGAUUAUUCUCAGAGACAUUAUUAGAGAAACACACACGGCACUAAAAGAAAGCAAGUGUGGUGUUAGAAGUACAACAGUGGAAAAACAGCCUUUUAACACAUUCAUUCAGUG
This is a long non-coding RNA of Astatotilapia calliptera (eastern happy), 1056 nucleotides long. NCBI's taxonomy places the organism in Eukaryota, Metazoa, Chordata, Actinopteri, Cichliformes, Cichlidae. The record is from Ensembl.